Molecule: RNA transcript, 2151 nt
Organism: Canis lupus familiaris (dog)
Lineage: Eukaryota; Metazoa; Chordata; Mammalia; Carnivora; Canidae
Gene: STPG2
Gene name: sperm tail PG-rich repeat containing 2
Exons: 15
Source: RefSeq, a predicted model, not a curated record
CCGCCCCCCGCCCUUAUGUACGAUCGAGCUCCCCGCUUGCUCAGAUUGGCUGAAGGUGGCAGCACUGAGGAGCAUGUGGGCCCUGGGUCCUACCAGGUACCUGUCCUGAGGCAGCAGGCAACAGGUGGCUACGCACCAUUCCUUUCUUUGGCUACCAGAGAAAGUACAUUUACUGUUGCCUCUAACACUGAGAAAGCUGUUCCAGGGCCAGGGCACUAUAAUGUUUCAGAAGCACAGUAUAAUAUAAAAGGAGGUCAUAGUCUACAAAACCGGGAGAAGCGUUUUAAGAACUUUGGUUCAGAGAGUCCAGGACCAGCAAGCUAUGAUCAGUUUUAUCCUGGAACAUUAGAUACCGUGAAAAGAAAAGCGCCACAGAAAAUUUCAAGGGCACCACCUCCAGUUUCCAGAAGUGUUGAUGUUCCUUCAAUUCCUUCUUGUGGACGGUCAUAUGGUUAUGAUAUUAAUGAGGAUGGCGGUAUUAUAAAACAUUUUCCACCUGCUAGUGACAGUACACUAGGUCCAGCAUACUAUAAACCUCAAUUGGAUUUUUCCAGUGCAACUUUGAAAUACAAGGGGAUACAUUUUGGCAACUCUUUGGGAAGACUUGAGUUACCUAUAAAGUCAGGACCUGGUCCUGGACAGUAUGAUAUAGGCCAGAAGAAGACCCCUCAUUAUGAAAAUAUUAACAUCAAGAAAGAUCAACAGCUAAAUUAUUGCUUAAAUCUCCCACGAUUUUAUGAAGUAAUAAUAUUGCAGGAGGAAAAAAAGGGAGUACCAGGGCCUGGAAAAUAUGACAUUAAAAGCCAAUUUCGGAAGGCUGAAAGUAUACCAAGUGUAAAUGAUGCAUCACCUGCUUUCCUUUCUCAAUCCCAGAGAUUUGUACCUAUGAAAUCAAUCACUCCAGCUCCUGGCACAUAUAAUGAAUCUCGAACUGCUUUUAAUUCCUUGAAGAAAGCACCAGGACUGAAAAGUACCCCAUUUGGUCAAAGUGCUGCUCGAUUCACACAAGACUGUAGGACAGAGGAAAUGCCAGGUCCUGGGUUUUAUAAUAUCCUAAACAAUACUAUAAUUGACAAGGUUAGCAAUACCUGCUUGAAGAAACAAAAGAAAAGUGCAUUUGGUUCUUCUGUUCCUCGGACUCUCUUCCUGGUUCAGAAAGAAGCUUGUAGUUCUCCUGGUCCUGCUGAUUAUCAGGUUAGAAUUUCUGAUGAACUGCCUGACUUGACUAACUACUAUACUGCUUUCUUGUCAAGAACACAAAAAUCUACUAAACUGUCAGAUAUGGAUAAUCCAGCACCUGGCAGCUAUAAUGUUCAGAAAUCAUAUGAGAUGUCCCAAGUUCAACAUAAAUACAUGGCACCUCGUAGUUUUGUGGCUAAACUGAAACAUGCCUCCUUUCUUAGCACAACUCCUCGGUGCCUGGAGAAAAUGACUGAUGGGCCAGGGCCUGCAACAUACGAUCCUGUUUUAAAGAAAUCUUGCUCCAUACCCUUAUUUGUUAAAGCAUCAAAGCGUUUUAAAGAUUCCAAAGAGAUUACUCCUGGUCCAGCGACUUAUGAGAUGUCAAAAACAGGAGUUGAGAAAGAUGGACACGUUGGCCAGUUAGUAAUCAGCUCAGUCCAUUCUUAAGACAUUCUGUUCUGAAGAGGACAUUUAAUGUCACAUUGCCAAAUACUUCCCUGAUUACAAGAGAAAACACUUUUCCUAUAGAUCAAAAAGCCAAACAAAAAUACUCAGGAAGCAAAGUAAAAUCUUCUAAAUGGUAAUGAACUGGAGGAGCAAUCUGAAAGAAUAUUUUGGCUUAGGUUGAGAAGUACAAUAGAGACAGCACUUACUGAAACAGCUUUUCUUUCCCUGCAGAUAUAUUGUAAAGGUAUUAUCUAUUAAUAUAAAGAUAAGCUGACAGUUCUCUGACAAAGAAGUAAUUCCAUUUUGAUGAUGCCCUCCACCAGCUACUCAAAGGAAUAUAAUUGUUCUUCUAACCUUGAGAGAUAGAAAAAUCUGUUCUUGUAAGACAUUUAAUUCUCUAUUUUUUUCUCAAAAAUUUCCUAUUAAAAGAGCAGUAUAUAUAUUCAUUGCAUUCUUUCUAAACAUGUAUUACUAGUGCUUCCGUAUAAAAUACAAUGCUGAAUAAAGACAUCUGAAAACCUU